UUUUUUUUGUUUUUUUUUUUUACCUCAAUGAAUUUUAUUACAUUUAUAGUUGUAUAAUGAUCACCACAACCUGAUUUUAUAGCAUUUCCAUCCCAAAUCUCCAGCCCAUCCCCCCAACCCACCAACCUGUCUCCUUUGGUAGCUGUAAGUUUUUCAAAGUCUGAGUCAGUUUCUGUUUUGCAAAGUUCAUUGUAUCCUUUUUUUAGAUUCUAUAUAUAAGUGAUAGCAUAUGACGUUGUUGUCUCACUGUCUGACUAACUUCACUUAGCAUGAUAAUUUCUAUGUCUAUCCACGUCGCUAAAAAUGCCAUUAUUUCUUUCCUUUUUGUGGAUGAAUAAUGCUCCACAUCUAAAGAAGAUGUACCACGUCUUCUUCAGGCAAGCCUCUGUCGAUGGACAUUUAGGUUGCUUCCAUGUCUUGGCUAUUGUAUAUAGUGCUGCAAUGAACUUUGGAGUACUUGUGUCUUUUUGAGUCAUGGUUUUCUCUGGAUAGAUGCCCAGGAGUGGGACUGCUGGAUCAAAUGGUAAUUAUAUUUUUAGUUUUCUGAAGAAUCUCCAUAAUGUUUUCUAUAAUGUUUGCACCAAUUUACAUUCCCACCAACAGUGUAAUAGGGUUAAUUUUCUCCACACCCUCUCCAGCACUUAUUGUUUGUAGACUUUUGGAUGAUGGCCAUUCUGGCUGGUGUCAGUUGGUAUUCACAGUAGUUUUGAUUUGCAUGUCUCUAAUAAUGAGUGGUGUUGAAUAUAUUUUCAUGUGUUUUUUGGCCAUCUGUAUGUCUUCUUUGGAGAACUGUCUGUGUAGAUCUUCUACACAUUUUUUGAUGGAGUUGUUUGGUUUUUUUGUUAUUGAGCUACAGGAGAUGUUGAUAAAUUUUGGAGAUGAAUCCCUUGUCAGUUGAUUCACUUGCAAAGAUUUUCUCCCAUUCUCUGGGUUGUCUUUUCAUUUUGUUUAGGAUUUCCUUUGCUGUGCAGAAAUGUUUCCGUUUAAUUAGAUCCCAUUUGUUUACUUUUUUAUUGUAAUUAUUCUAUAAGGUGGAUCAGAGGAGAUAUAGCUGUGGUUUAUGUCAGAGAGUGUUUGGGCUAUGUGUUUUUCACUAAGAGUUUUAUAGUAUCUCAUCAUAUAUUUAGGUCUUCAAUCCAUUUUGAGUUUAUUUUUGGUGUUACGGUGUAUGGUAUUAGAAAGUAUUCUAAUUUAAUUAUUUUACAUGUAGCUGUCCAGUUUUCCCAGCACCAUUUAUUGAAGGGGUUGUCUUUUCUCCAUUGUAUAGUCUUGUCUCCUUUGUCAUAGAUUAGUUGACCAUGGGUGUGUGGGUGGGAGGGGUUAAUUCUGAGAUUUAUAUCCUGUUCCACCCUUCUAUAUUUCUGUUUUGUGCCAGUACCAUACUGUUUUGAUGACUAUGGCUUUGUAGUAUAGUCUGAAGCCAGGGGCCCUGAUGCCUCCAGCUCCAUUUUUCUUUCUAAGGAUGGCUUUGGACAUUCUGGGUCUUUUGUGCUUCCAAACAAACAUUAAAAUAUUUUGUUCUAGUCUAUGAAAAAUGUCCUUGGUAAUUUGAUAGAGAUUUCAUUGAAUCUGUAGAUUGCAUUGGGUAGUAUAGUCACUUUGACAAUUUUGAUUCUUCCAAUCCAAGAGCAUGGUAUAUCUUUCCCUCUGUUUGUGUCAUCUUUGAUUUCUUUCAUCAAUGUCUUAUAGCUUUCAGAGUACAGUUUAGUGAUACUUGCUUUAGGAUUUCUUCAUCUAUGUUUUUGACUGAGAUUCUUCUGUAAUUUUCUUUCCUGACAGUACUUGUCAGGUUUGAGUAUUGAGUUUGAUGCUACAAUGAGUUGGGAAUACAUAUCCUAUUUACUGGAAGAGUUUGUAAGGUGAUUUCUCUUUGCAUGAUUUGUAGAUCAUGUUAUUUCAGUCAAAUAGGCUGGGGGUGUUUUGUGAGAAGUUUUUUGACCAUUUAUUCAUUCCCUUAAUGAACACAACAUAUUUUUUUGCAUUUUUAACUCAGUGUUAAGCAUAUAUAGCACACACACAGCUAUAAUUAUCAAAUAAGUAAAAUUAUUGUUAUUGCUAUAAGUAACAGAUGCAUAAGUCAAUGGAACAAAAUAGGGAGCCCAGACAAAAACUGACUCAAAAUUGUCAAUUAACUUAUGAUAAAGGAACUAGGAAUAUACCAUGGGGAAUGGACAGUCUCUUCAAUACAGUAGAAAAAAAAAAAGGUAAAAACUUAAAAAAAAAAGAGUAUUAAAAACUGGACAGCAAAAUUGGACCCCUGUCUCCUACCAUACACAAAAAUUAACUCAGAAUGAAUUAAAGUCUUAAACACAAGUUCUAAAAUCAAAAACUCCUAGAAGAAAACCUAUGCAGUAAGCUCGUGGACAUUAGUCUUGGCAAUGAAUUUUUGGGUUUGAUACCAAAAUCAAAGGCAACUAAAGCAAAUAUAAACAAGAGAUCACCUAGAGGGUGUGACCAUUGCUUGACUUGUAAGACUGAAUACAUGACUGAACCAAAGUAAUACC
RNAcentral lists this long non-coding RNA (2504 nucleotides) under Sus scrofa (pig). RNAcentral describes it as "lncRNA (ENSSSCG00040066635.1)". Lineage: Eukaryota; Metazoa; Chordata; Mammalia; Artiodactyla; Suidae. The record is from RNAcentral.